Molecule: ribosomal RNA, 429 nt
Filed under: uncultured bacterium
Lineage: Bacteria
Description: bacterial SSU rRNA
Rfam family: Bacterial small subunit ribosomal RNA
Source: RNAcentral
UAGGGAAUCUUCGGCAAUGGGGGCAACCCUGACCGAGCAACGCCGCGUGAGUGAAGAAGGUUUUCGGAUCGUAAAGCUCUGUUGUAAGAGAAGAACGUGUGUGAGAGUGGAAAGUUCACACAGUGACGGUAACUUACCAGAAAGGGACGGCUAACUACGUGCCAGCAGCCGCGGUAAUACGUAGGUCCCGAGCGUUAUCCGGAUUUAUUGGGCGUAAAGCGAGCGCAGGCAGUUGGAUAAGUCUGAAGUUAAAGGCUGUGGCUUAACCAUAGUAUGCUUUGGAAACUGUUCAACUUGAGUGCAGAAGGGGAGAGUGGAAUUCCAUGUGUAGCGGUGGAAUGCGUAGAUAUAUGGAGGAACACCGGUGGCGAAAGCGGCUCUCUGGUCUGUAACUGACGCUGAGGCUCGAAAGCGUGGGUAGCGAACAGG